UACAUGGACACAUACGCACACCGGUGAUCCAGCGCAAGGCAUCCACGGUCGCCGCUUAGAAUCGACAGACACUGAUAACGUGCGCUGUUCGGCAUAGUUGACCGUCUUGUCACCAUUCCUUAGACACGCGCACAUAGACGCAUGCAUACACACGCAUACACACAAGCAUCAUCGCCCUUCUUUUUCUUAGCGUGGCUUGCACGAGUCUGCGUAUCACGUACUGUGUCUGGUGCGUUGAAAUCACCUACUCACAGACGUUGUCGCUACCGUGGCUGCUGCUGCUGUUGUUGCUGCAGCAGCCGUUGUGGUGCUCGCUUACCGGGAGUCUCUCUGCGCAGCUCUUCACCUCGCCGUGUGCGUGCGUGUGCCCAGCACUGCUCAAGGUACCACCUUCGUCAUGCCCCGCGAAAUCGUGACAGUGCAGGUCGGCCAGUGUGGCAACCAGCUCGGCCAGCGCUGGUUCGAUGUCAUGCUUCAGGAGCACAAGGCUUACUCGCAUUUUCCCGAGGCCCGCGACGCUGUCUUCCUCGAGGACAUGAACCACCCCGGCAGACUUAAGGCGAGAUGUGUGGCGGUCGACAUGGAGCAGGGCGUUCUGCACGCAAUGCUGCGUGGCCCUCUGAAGGACAUCUUCGACGCUAACUUCUUCGUCUCCGACGUCAGCGGCGCGGGCAACAACUGGGCUGUGGGGCACAUGGAGUACGGCGACCGCUACAUCGACGCCAUCGCGGAGUCGGUGCGAAAUCAGGUGGAGCAAUGCAACUGCAUCCAGUCUUUCUUCUUGAUGCACUCCCUGAGCGGCGGCACCGGCUCCGGGCUCGGCACGCGUGUGCUUGGCAUGCUGGAGGACGAGUUCCCGCAUGUGUUCCGCAUUUGCCCGGUCGUCAUGCCAUCCGAGGUGGACGAUGUCGUAACGGCGCCGUACAACAGCUGCUUCUCGCUGAAGGAGCUGAUCGAGCACGCGGACUGCGUGCUGCCGCUCGACAACGACGCCCUGGCACGCAUGGCAGACCGCGCCCUCAGCAGCAGGCCCAAGGGCCGUGGCGUGAUGGCAUGCAGUGUGCCGCAGCCGCAGGCCUUCUCGGCAGCGAAGCCGACCGACACCAAGGGGCUUCCCUACGACUCGAUGAACGGGCUUGUGGCCCAGCUUCUGAGCAACCUAACCUGCGCUAUGCGCUUCCCUGGCCCGCUGAACAUGGACAUUAACGAAAUCACGACGAACCUAGUCCCAUUUCCACGGCUGCACUUCCUCACCGCUGCGAUCGCGCCGCUGAGUGUGUCGAGCAAGCACGCCGCCGUUGGGCCACGUACGGUGGAUGCGAUGAUCGCCGCAUGCCUGGACCCGGGGCACCAGUUCGUGGAUGUCCGUCACGGUCAAGGAAGCGCUGUGACGCGAGAGGCCGGCAAGACUCUAGCGACAUCGCUCAUCGCACGCGGCCCGCAGACAACCGUCGGUGACCUCACCCGCGGCGUCGGACGGCUGCGCGAGCAGAUGGAGAUGCCGUACUGGAACGAGGACGGCUUCAAGACAGCGCUGUGCGGGGUCAGCCCGCUGGGUCACAAGGAUUCCAUGCUGCUCCUCGCCAACAACUGCUCCAUUCGAAGCAAGGUCGAGUCGAUGCUCUCCAAAUACGAGCGUCUCUACUCGGUCCGCUCCCACGUGCAUCACUACGAUCAGUACCUCUCCGAUGCCUACUUCGUGCAUACAGUGGAGACGCUGCGCACGCUGGUGGACGACUACGCGUACCUGGACACGGCGGCGCCGCCGAAGGACUUGCCGCGCAGCAUGAAGGAUCUCAUCUACUACUAAGUCUGCCAUGCGCGCACGGUAGAAGGGAGAAAAAGGGGGCAGGGUGGGCUGGAGGAGGAGGAGAAGGAGCGGCUUGGUGGAGUCCGCCGCACAUCGCCUUCGCCGCCGUGGCGUCUUUUAGCUUCAUGGCGCCCCUGUACACUGCUGAUUGCCCAUGUGAAACAUGCAAGACG
RNAcentral lists this unclassified non-coding RNA (1983 nucleotides) under Leishmania donovani. RNAcentral describes it as "gene:LdHU3.21.1480(CDS-product:epsilon_tubulin_pu tative)". The record is from RNAcentral. Lineage: Eukaryota; Euglenozoa; Kinetoplastea; Trypanosomatida; Trypanosomatidae.